UACGGAGGAUGCAAGCGUUAUCCGGAUUUAUUGGGUUUAAAGGGUGCGCAGGCGGAACAAUAAGUCAGUGGUGAAAUCCUACGGCUCAACCGUAGAACUGCCAUUGAUACUGUUGUUCUUGAGUAUAGUUGAAGUAGGCGGAAUGUGUUGUGUAGCGGUGAAAUGCAUAGAUAUGACACAGAACUCCGAUCGCGAAGGCAGCUUACUAAACUAUAACUGACGCUCAUGCACGAAAGCGUGGGGAGCGAACAGG
RNAcentral lists this ribosomal RNA (253 nucleotides) under uncultured bacterium. RNAcentral's name for it is "partial 16S ribosomal RNA". It matches the Rfam family "Bacterial small subunit ribosomal RNA", at positions 524 to 776 of the family's 1533-position model. The record is from RNAcentral.